AGCGAAACGGGAAGAGCCCAAACCAACAAGCUUGCUUGUUGGGGUUGUAGGACACUCUAUACGGAGUUACAAAGGACGACAUUAGACGAAUCAUCUGGAAAGAUGAAUCAAAGAAGGUAAUAAUCCUGUAGUCGAAAAUGUUGUCUCUCUUGAGUGGAUCCUGAGUACGACGGAGCACGUGAAAUUCCGUCGGAAUCUGGGAGGACCAUCUCCUAAGGCUAAAUACUCUCUAGUGACCGAUAGUGAACCAGUACCGUGAGGGAAAGGUGAAAAGCACCCCGGAAGGGGAGUGAAAUAGAACCUGAAACCGUGUGCUUACAAGUAGUCAGAGCCCGUUAAUGGGUGAUGGCGUGCCUUUUGUAGAAUGAACCGGCGAGUUACGAUUUGAUGCAAGGUUAAGCAGUAAAUGUGGAGCCGUAGCGAAAGCGAGUCUGAAUAGGGCGUUUAGUAUUUGGUCGUAGACCCGAAACCAGGUGAUCUACCCUUGGUCAGGUUGAAGUUCAGGUAACACUGAAUGGAGGACCGAACCGACUUACGUUGAAAAGUGAGCGGAUGAACUGAGGGUAGCGGAGAAAUUCCAAUCGAACCUGGAGAUAGCUGGUUCUCUCCGAAAUAGCUUUAGGGCUAGCCUCAAGUGAUGAUUAUUGGAGGUAGAGCACUGUUUGGACGAGGGGCCCCUCUCGGGUUACCGAAUUCAGACAAACUCCGAAUGCCAAUUAAUUUAACUUGGGAGUCAGAACAUGGGUGAUAAGGUCCGUGUUCGAAAGGGAAACAGCCCAGACCACCAGCUAAGGUCCCAAAAUAUAUGUUAAGUGGAAAAGGAUGUGGCGUUGCCCAGACAACUAGGAUGUUGGCUUAGAAGCAGCCAUCAUUUAAAGAGUGCGUAAUAGCUCACUAGUCGAGUGACACUGCGCCGAAAAUGUACCGGGGCUAAACAUAUUACCGAAGCUGUGGAUUGUCCUUUGGACAAUGGUAGGAGAGCGUUCUAAGGGCGUUGAAGCAUGAUCGUAAGGACAUGUGGAGCGCUUAGAAGUGAGAAUGCCGGUGUGAGUAGCGAAAGACGGGUGAGAAUCCCGUCCACCGAUUGACUAAGGUUUCCAGAGGAAGGCUCGUCCGCUCUGGGUUAGUCGGGUCCUAAGCUGAGGCCGACAGGCGUAGGCGAUGGAUAACAGGUUGAUAUUCCUGUACCACCUAUAAUCGUUUUAAUCGAUGGGGGGACGCAGUAGGAUAGGCGAAGCGUGCGAUUGGAUUGCACGUCUAAGCAGUAAGGCUGAGUAUUAGGCAAAUCCGGUACUCGUUAAGGCUGAGCUGUGAUGGGGAGAAGACAUUGUGUCUUCGAGUCGUUGAUUUCACACUGCCGAGAAAAGCCUCUAGAUAGAAAAUAGGUGCCCGUACCGCAAACCGACACAGGUAGUCAAGAUGAGAAUUCUAAGGUGAGCGAGCGAACUCUCGUUAAGGAACUCGGCAAAAUGACCCCGUAACUUCGGGAGAAGGGGUGCUCUUUAGGGUUAACGCCCAGAAGAGCCGCAGUGAAUAGGCCCAAGCGACUGUUUAUCAAAAACACAGGUCUCUGCUAAACCGUAAGGUGAUGUAUAGGGGCUGACGCCUGCCCGGUGCUGGAAGGUUAAGAGGAGUGGUUAGCUUCUGCGAAGCUACGAAUCGAAGCCCCAGUAAACGGCGGCCGUAACUAUAACGGUCCUAAGGUAGCGAAAUUCCUUGUCGGGUAAGUUCCGACCCGCACGAAAGGCGUAACGAUUUGGGCACUGUCUCAACGAGAGACUCGGUGAAAUCAUAGUACCUGUGAAGAUGCAGGUUACCCGCGACAGGACGGAAAGACCCCGUGGAGCUUUACUGUAGCCUGAUAUUGAAAUUCGGCACAGCUUGUACAGGAUAGGUAGGAGCCUUUGAAACGUGAGCGCUAGCUUACGUGGAGGCGCUGGUGGGAUACUACCCUAGCUGUGUU
This 1963-nucleotide ribosomal RNA is filed under the name Staphylococcus aureus. RNAcentral's name for it is "partial 23S ribosomal RNA". It matches the Rfam family "Bacterial large subunit ribosomal RNA", at positions 252 to 2215 of the family's 2925-position model. The record is from RNAcentral. Lineage: Bacteria; Bacillati; Bacillota; Bacilli; Caryophanales; Staphylococcaceae.